CAGCAGCCGCGGGAAUACCGAGGAUGCAAGCGUUAUCCGGAAUGAUUGGGCGUAAAGCGUCUGUAGGUGGCUUUUCAAGUCCGCCGUCAAAUCCCAGGGCUCAACCCUGGACAGGCGGUGGAAACUACCAAGCUGGAGUACGGUAGGGGCAGAGGGAAUUUCCGGUGGAGCGGUGAAAUGCGUAGAUAUAUGGAGGAACACCAGUGGCGAAGGCGACUCUCUGGUCUGUAACUGACGCUGAGGCUCGAAAGCGUGGGUAGCAAACAGGAUUAGAUACCCCAGUAGUCCCUGUCUCUUAUAC
This 301-nucleotide ribosomal RNA is filed under the name uncultured bacterium. Its description in RNAcentral is "partial 16S ribosomal RNA". It matches the Rfam family "Bacterial small subunit ribosomal RNA", at positions 509 to 807 of the family's 1533-position model. The record is from RNAcentral.